AGAGUUUGAUCAUGGCUCAGAGCGAACGCUGGCGGCAGGCCUAAUACAUGCAAGUCGAACGGCUCUUCGGAGCAGUGGCGGACGGGUGAGUAACGCGUGGGAACGUGCCCUUUGGUUCGGAACAACACAGGGAAACUUGUGCUAAUACCGAAUGUGCCCUUCGGGGGAAAGAUUUAUCGCCAUUGGAGCGGCCCGCGUUGGAUUAGCUAGUUGGUGGGGUAAAGGCCCACCAAGGCUACGAUCCAUAGCUGGUCUGAGAGGAUGAUCAGCCACACUGGGACUGAGACACGGCCCAGACUCCUACGGGAGGCAGCAGUAGGGAAUCUUGCGCAAUGGGCGAAAGCCUGACGCAGCCAUGCCGCGUGAAUGAUGAAGGUCUUAGGAUUGUAAAAUUCUUUCACCGGGGAAGAUAAUGACGGUACCCGGAGAAGAAGCCCCGGCUAACUUCGUGCCAGCAGCCGCGGUAAUACGAAGGGGGCUAGCGUUGCUCGGAAUUACUGGGCGUAAAGGGCGCGUAGGCGGACAUUUAAGUCAGAGGUGAAAGCCCAGGGCUCAACCUUGGAAUUGCCUUUGAUACUGGAUGUCUUGAGUUCGGGAGAGGUGAGUGGAAUGCCGAGUGUAGAGGUGAAAUUCGUAGAUAUUCGGCGGAACACCAGUGGCGAAGGCGGGUCUCUGGGCAGUAACUGACGCUGAGGAGCGAAAGCGUGGGGAGCGAACAGGAUUAGAUACCCCGGUAGUCCAA
RNAcentral lists this ribosomal RNA (742 nucleotides) under uncultured bacterium. RNAcentral's name for it is "bacterial SSU rRNA". It matches the Rfam family "Bacterial small subunit ribosomal RNA", at positions 8 to 798 of the family's 1533-position model. The record is from RNAcentral.